Molecule: long non-coding RNA, 1578 nt
Organism: Anguilla anguilla (European eel)
Lineage: Eukaryota; Metazoa; Chordata; Actinopteri; Anguilliformes; Anguillidae
Exons: 4
Source: RefSeq, a predicted model, not a curated record
AAUAGGAAUUCAGUAAAAUUACAACCCUUGCAUGCACAGUGCAUUCUCCCAUCACACGUGCAGCUCACAUUACUGCCAACACUAUCGCACAGUCUGAGCCAAAGGACUACAUGCUUUCUGUUCCUGUAUUAAAACCCCAUCUCAAUGUCACUCAUAAUGAAUACCGCUGCACUAUACUGUGUGCCGUGGUAAGACCCUCACAUUGUACAAGAACAGUGAGAAGAAGCCCUACGUCACCUCGCCUGUGGAAAGUGCUCCACAUCUGCAUCUGCCUCAGACUGUGGAUAAGGGCGGCAUCUACACCUGUGAGGCGAGGAACUCAGUCAGUAAUGAGACAGACCCUCUCACUGUGGGGGCCCACUGCACAGACCGAGGGGUCUAAAAUGUGGAGCCUGUGCCUGGUGCUGAUUGUGAUGCUGUACAGUCACCUGGUUUGAGCCUGCUGAGUGAGAAUGAACUGUGACCUCUGGAUGAGUGGGAAUUUCAGGUCUUAAGGUCGAAGGUCAAUGGUUACAGAGGGUCCUCAUAGGUUUUUUCCUGUUUCUCUUCAGCAGAUGAAUCCGUUCUGCAGGAAAUUCUGCUGUUUUGCAGCUGUUCUCCCAGUCCUAGUCAUCCUCUGUCUCAGGCUGUUCUCUCUGUCUCAGUCAUCCUCUGUCUUUAGGCUGUUCUCUCUGUCUCAGUCAUCCUCUGUCUCAGGCUGUUCUCUCUGUCCCAGUCAUUCUCUGUGUCAGGCUGUUCUCUCUGUCUCAGUCAUCCUCUGUCUCAGGCUGUUCUCUCUGUCCCCGUCAUUCUCUGUGUCAGGCUGUUCUCUCAGUCCCAGUCAUGAACUGAGGCAAAUAGCUGAUUGUUUUUAAUUAGGCUUUUAUGACUUCCCACUGACUUCUGGCCACUUUAUGUAAUAUCUGUGCAUACCAUGAAGAAUAAAUGUUCCACAUUCAUAUCUGAAGACAUUUAAUUUGUCAGAUCAACUAAUGCUUUUAUUUAAUGUGAUUCAUGGAAAAUGAUAACUUUAGAAAGAGGCUCCAUUUAUAAUAGAUUAAUUUACAGUGAUAUGUGUGAAGUCAGUGGGGCUCUACCUGCUACUGGAGUAAAUUGUUCUGAAUUUCAUAAACUGUUGCCUGUAGAGCUCUGUAUUAUUCCGUAUGAUCUUUAUGAAGCUGUUUGUAUUCAAGACUGAAGAUUUUCUGCCACAGACAUGAGUGUAUCUCUGUCCACCAUUAUGCGAAAACCUGUUCCAUUGCCUGUUUAAUUCAGUGUUUUUAAUGAUAACAGCCUUUUUUAUAGUUUAAUUCAGUAUCAUAUCAGUACCUAUCUGUCUACAUGUAUGACACAACAGGUGAGUCUGUCACUUGACUGACACACAUGGAGCACCUGUCUCUCAGAUGUUUUAAUUCUGAACCAUCAGAGUGGGGAUUCCUUAAUGCUACUGAAUUUUAUUACGGAUUUUAAGCUACACGUUGAAACUUUUUUGUUGUGUCUGUGCGUUACAUACAGUGAUUAUGGUCAUAUGUUUCAUUUGUGAUAAUGUUCACAUUUAUAACUGGCUCAUGUUCAAAUAAAAGAAUGUUUAUGAGUGUG